Apis dorsata (giant honeybee) is the source of this 792-nucleotide long non-coding RNA. RefSeq lists it as uncharacterized. The transcript is spliced from 2 exons. Lineage: Eukaryota; Metazoa; Arthropoda; Insecta; Hymenoptera; Apidae. The record is from RefSeq and is a predicted model, not a curated record.
UUUUUGUUAUCAUAGAGAGCGCUUGCACUGACAUAUAACGACAUCUAACAAUGAAAAUGGAACUAUUCUGAGCGCAUGGCGCCAUGAUACUUGUAGAGGGAUACGUUGUUUCGCGCCCAUGGCCUGGGGGUUAAUAAUAAAUAACCGAUUCCAUCACAUGUACUUUACUUCUACGUGCUUUACUUCUAGUCCUUAGAAUCUAGGCAGCGCCUAUGACAGACGACGUAGAUCUCAAUAGUGUCGCAUAUGCGGCUUUACUUUCUUCGAAGUAUCGCUUUCGAACUACGAAUUCGAGCAGAUUUCUGAAACGUUUUAAAAAGAAAGAAAAAGUCAAAAAUUAAAAGUAAGCACAGGACAGGUCCAUUGUAUUGACACUGAUAAUCUGUUAACUAUAGUUGGAUAUCGUAUGUUUUUGUUAAGGUUAAGUGUAAGACGUUUUCUUUUAUACCAGUUUUCCUGGGUGCGAAACGAAUAUAAGUGGUUAUAAUUCGUGUAUUAGUGCAUGCUGUGUAAUUUUCUUGGAGUUUGCUUGGAUUUAUCUUCUAACGCUGUGAAAUGCUGACAAGCUGGCAACAUGUAUAUGACAGCAUAGUUGAUACGGACAUACGGCUCAGUACCUAAUAGUGAAUAUGUUAGAAAUCGUUGAUGAAAUGUAAUUCAAACUGGGAAUAAUUAUAUUUAAUUUAAAUUGAAAUUUUACUUAACUCGAUAUUAUGCGUUAUAUCGUAUAAGUACACGCAUCAUCUCUAAUUAAAAUAAAUGAUUACACAAGGACGAAACAGUUAUUCAUAA